UGUGUUUCUGGACCUGUGCCCUUCAGCC
This 28-nucleotide non-coding RNA is filed under the name Mus musculus (house mouse). Lineage: Eukaryota; Metazoa; Chordata; Mammalia; Rodentia; Muridae. The record is from RNAcentral.